GACGAACGCUGGCGGCGUGCUUAACACAUGCAAGUCGAGCGAGGCCCCUCCUUCGGGAGGGUGUCCUAGCGGCGAACGGGUGAGUAACACGUGGGCAACCUGCCCUCAGCUCUGGGAUAACUCCGGGAAACCGGGGCUAAUACCGGAUACGACCUCCACGGGCAUCUGCGGAGGUGGAAAGUUUUUCGGCUGAGGAUGGGCCCGCGGCCUAUCAGCUAGUUGGUGGGGUAGUGGCCCACCAAGGCGACGACGGGUAGCCGGCCUGAGAGGGCGACUGGCCACACUGGGACUGAGACACGGCCCAGACUCCUACGGGAGGCAGCAGUGGGGAAUAUUGCGCAAUGGGCGAAAGCCUGACGCAGCGACGCCGCGUGAGGGACGAAGGCCUUCGGGUUGUAAACCUCUUUCAGCAGGGACGAAGCGAAAGUGACGGUACCUGCAGAAGAAGCACCGGCCAACUACGUG
This 465-nucleotide ribosomal RNA is filed under the name uncultured bacterium. RNAcentral's name for it is "partial 16S ribosomal RNA". It matches the Rfam family "Bacterial small subunit ribosomal RNA", at positions 28 to 507 of the family's 1533-position model. The record is from RNAcentral.